Molecule: long non-coding RNA, 1038 nt
Filed under: Equus caballus (horse)
Lineage: Eukaryota; Metazoa; Chordata; Mammalia; Perissodactyla; Equidae
Description: lncRNA (ENSECAG00000049732.1)
Source: RNAcentral
GUGGCUUCCUAUGUGCAUACCAGUUUUGGAGCUUCAUCUCCAGGCCUCACUCUUGGUGUCUUCUGGGCAUGUUUAUGGGGUUUGCCCUGGGCCCAUGCACCACAUCUGUGGGAGGGCAUGUCACCGAGUUCUAGCACCUCCCUGGAAGAACCAACAUUACCGGAGGAGAGAGGGCAUCAAGUGCUUGUUUAUACGUGGGACGCCUACCACAGCAUGGCUGCCAAGCAGUGCCAUGUCCGCACCCGGGAUCCGAACCAGCGAACCCCGGGCCGCCAAGAAGCGGAACGUGCGAACUUAACCGCUGCGCCACCGGGCCGGCCCCUCUUGCCUCCAAUUCUGAUUCAAUGAGGAAAUUGAGACCCAGAGAGGUGACGUGACUUGCCUAAGGCUGGCUAGAGACGUAACUGGAUGAUCACUCUGCUCUACUGGUUCUCAGGCCACUGAGAUUUUCCAAACUGUGUUCAUUAGAACACCAGUGUCCAAAGCGAGGUCAAUAGGUGUUCUGGGGGACAAAAGGUUGAGCUGUGGCCUCAUAAAUAAGUUUGGGAAACACUGGACGUAGCCAAGUUAAGCAGGUUUCUUUGCUGCAGGAUUUCACAGAUGCUUGGAUAUUCUAAUACAAAUUGUGACGCUCCAAUAGAGGUUAUGGAGGCAGAGUUUUCCAAACUCAUUUAAUAGCAGACACUUUCCCUCCUUUUGUAACAUAUUGGCAUCUCAGUGGACACUAUUCUAAGGAAAACUGUUAGGGGGAUUGCUGUAAGACACUGUGUUGCCCUGAGAUAAGCCAGAGAGAGUCCACAGUCACCAAAGACUAGAGUCCUCAGAAGGAUAUGAAUUCACAUAUACUUGCUCUGGACCAGCCACCUCUGACACCUAAACUGCCACACUGGACUCCAGGUGGACCAAGGUGACCAAUUCCCAUGAGAAGGAACCCACAGGCCAGGAAUAGUUGUGAGCUGGCUGGCAGAGUGGCUGACAGGGUGGGUGUCAGCCCCACUCCUGUUGGACGCAGAAGUUCAGUUCUCAGAAUUGCUAAGC